This 5662-nucleotide long non-coding RNA is filed under the name Citrus sinensis (sweet orange). Its description in RNAcentral is "long non-coding RNA (CSIN_LNC002779)". Lineage: Eukaryota; Viridiplantae; Streptophyta; Magnoliopsida; Sapindales; Rutaceae. The record is from RNAcentral.
UUUCCUUAACUCUUUGACAAGUCUCAUUUAUUGUGCUUCGAUUUGAUUAGAGUAAUCGAUUCUGAAAAUAGUUCAAUUUUUUAAGAAAUUUAAAAAGGCUUCAUUCAUUCGAAACUUCCCUUCAUAUUUCUGUCUCCUUCCCUUGUCUGCUUUCGCGCAAGAACAGGAGAAGAAAAUAUUCCUUCAGUGACUGAAAAAAUUUAAAAAAAAAAUGAUUUGUGAGUAACCGUAAUUUUUUACCAGGGGUAGUGAAGUAUUUUGGCCAGUUUAUUUGGCAUAGAAUUGUAAAAUUUAUUGAAGAUAUUGACAAAAGUGUAAUUUAAAGAUCUUCCCUUUUAGUAACGGAUGAUAGACUCAAGUUUUGUCUCAAUGGAUUUCCUGUUAUUCUUGGAUUAUGAUGGACGUUUCACUUCUCACUGAGUCACUGGUAAAACUUUCUUUACGUUACGUUUUAGCAGCUUAAUAUUUAUCUUGGACGAUGCUUCAAAUGCUUCCAUUUUCAAAAUGCUUAAGACCCAGACAAAAUCUUAGUUUAAGAAAUUGAUAUGAUGGCAAGAAUGAAAUAGUUUUCUUGUAAAUGGUUUCUUCAUUCCUGAAUUGGAUGCAUGGAUUUGGUUUCCUAAUGAAUGAAAUUUAAAAUGAUGGAAGAAUGCAUAUACUAUGUUAGUUCCUUUUACACAAAGAAAUUUUUGAGUUGUGUGAUGUACUGUGUAUGUCUUGUUGCUUUGAUGAAUUGAUUCUCCCAUGUCGGUGAUGAUUCGUGUAUGUCAAUCUUGUCAACCCUAUUGAAAGCUUACGUUGGAGUAGAAUUGGGAGAUCUUCUGGUGCUGCUGGGAGUUCUCGGUUAAGAGUUUUGAUGUUUCAGGCUCAAUUGCUGUUGCUUGAUAGUUGUGUUGAUCCUAAAUUAAUGGAGGCAUUGGAGGAAAACCAGAAAUGUGAAAGGAAGGGUGGGGUUUCCUCAAGUUCAGAGGUAAAUCUUUAUUCUUGUCCUAUUUUUGAAGUGGCAGACAUCUCGGAUAUUACCAGAUGGCUUGCUAGUGUAUAUCUUAUUGCAAAUCAAAGCUAGUUGUAUGGUUUUCACAUAAAUAGAAUGUUCCUAAGCUUUGUGAAGUAUGGCUACCAGAUUAUGAGUUUCAAAACAUUAAAAAAUGAGAACUGGAGUAUGAAAUGUUUGACUUUUCAGAAGACACAUCCUUACUCUGAAACAAUGUCUUGAUCAGUUAUUUAUUAUUUCAACCCAAUAAAUGUUUUUCAAAACUGCAGCUACUCAACAGAUUAAUAGUUAAUAAAAUAGCACAUGUUUCAUGGGCUGUGAUAAUAUGCUGUAUGAAUAACUUUUUAAAAGUAUAUAUCAAAUUUCUUUAACUGCAUCCAUUCAUCAAAGUGAUUCCAUCUUGCAUGGAAUAUGAAAAUUCACUGUAUGAAAGCAUAGUUUUUACCACUGUACUUAACAUUUCAGUUUCAAGCAGAUGAGUGAAGUCUCAAGGCAUAUCAUUGUUAGAGCUAGAAUUGUUGUAGCCAACAUGGAGUUUCUUAUGUGCUCUGUGUACCUUAUCAAAAUUCAAUGUAGUUACUCCUGCAUGCAUGGAAAAAUAAAACUUUAUUCUUAAUUUACUGCUAAAAUAUCAUAUGAUAAUCAUUGGAACUCGCACUACUAUAAGUUGGUAUGAGUACUCUAGCUGCUUCUGACAUUCCAUAGACUACUGGAUGGUGUUAUGUCUUUCAUGGGGCAAUCUUUGCUAGUUGAAAGUAUUCUCGGGUUCUGAUAAAAGUUGUAAAAGCUAGAUUGGAUUUACUUUUUAGAUUCUCAUUGUGAGUGAUUGAUAAUUCACAUACUGUUGAAGAUAUGCUAGUCAAUCUGGCACUGGUGAAAUGUUUGAAACUUUGAGUUGAAGUGCAUUUGACAGUAAAUGAGACUAUUAGAUGGUGUCUGAUUUUCUAACUGGGUCUGCUAUUUGCCAUCAGAAAAGCAACAAAAGGAAAAGCAAUUUGGACCUGCAAUUUUCAUUCAGAUAGAUUAUUACAUCUUACAUAUUAAAGACCAUUAGUUUAAUCUUCUUGGGAUGUUUUUGCUAUUAAUUAAAUAUAAUAUAAAUCCACGAAUACGAUGAAUAAUGAUAAAUCAACUGCCAUGCCUCUGUUUGAGAAAAGCCACCUCCAUGAUUAUUAGACGCUUUAAACCAGGACCUGGCUCUAUUUUUUGGAACCAUUCAAGCCAUUAGUAAACAUCAGAAGACUACUGUUGAAACAAGAUAAAGUGAAGCUCCAGUGUGGCUACUUGACUUUUCAGUUGAAAUCAUAUUGUACAGUGACUAAACUGUGAGCUAUUGAUUGGCAUUAACCCAACAGUUCUGACAGAAAGAUGCCAGAGUUUCCUAAAUACCAAAGUCUUUUUUGACAUUGCUUCUCGUGUUAGAUAUUUUUCCUUUGUGCUGAAUGCUGAUGUUGGAUGCAUGUAAAGUUAAAAAAAAUUCAGGAAUGAUUUGUUACCCUGAUAAUGGUUGCUCAACAAGAAAGGAUAAAAGCAUCAUGGAAGUUAUAUACCAAUUUGGUAAAAAUGCAUAUAUCCUUUUAAGAACCAAGAGCUGAUAAGUUGGAUUUCAGUGAGAGAUCCUAGGUCUGGUGUUCACAAUGUCAGAAUUCGCCUGUAUGAAUUUCCAUUUUCCUUUCUUGUACAUAAAUUUCUACAAUUCUAGGCUGAAAAUUUUCGUUCUCUUAAAAAAUUAAUGCUGCUGAAAGUGUUUUUAACAAUCUGGCAAACCACCCUUACUUUCUGCUUGUCUUUUUUUUUCUAUCCUACUGAAAGAUAUUAUUCCAGAUUAUAUGUUUUAUUUAAUUUCUUCUCCUUGCUCGUGUUGAGCAUGUUGCUCUCCAUAGGAAGUUUUGCCAUUUGUUUGAUAUGAUAAAACUGAAGAAAUAAUGGGAAAAUAUAGGGGUCUGACAAUGCACAACUCUAGAAUAAUUGCUUUUGAUAGGAUUAUAGCUUGAAUUGCUGCACAAGUUGUACCUCAGAACUAUGUAGCAUGAGCAGGAUGAAUGCGUCAUUAUUUUUUUUUCUCUCUAUGGUAUGGUUACUUGGGAGUGGUAAGUGGGGAGUUUUCUGCAAUUUGGUGCACUUUGAAAUGACUCUGUUUCACCAAAAGAUAGAACUAAAAUAAUAUGCACACUAUUUUUUAAAAUCUUGGCAGUACAGUAUCAUGUUGUUAAGGCAUGGAUUAUUUGGCAACAAGUUGGACACUGGUAGAGAGUGGCUUAAUAUCUGUCUGAGUGAUGAGGUAAGGCCCAUGGUUAAUCUUUCUUGUAAUUUUUAUUUAUUCAAUUGAGAGUUUUUAUGUUCCUUGUUUCUUCUACCGUCCGAUUUCUUGCUUCAGCUCGUUCAUGUGAUAAUGUAAUAUAAGGCAUCUGUACAUUAAUUGUAGGAUUAUAAUAACCCUGUACAGGAAACGAUUCUACAUAUUGUCCUGAGAUAUUGGAUUUCUCAGAGGGAACCACCAGUCUUUGUACACAAAAUCAAUAACACGUCCUUUCUAGGGCUGCUUUUUUCACUGCCUUCUAUAAGUCUACUUAAUAAUUCUUAUCCAAAAUAUUUAACCUAUUUCCUAAACAAAAAGACUGGCUAUUCCUUGAGCCUUCUCCUUACACUUACAAUUUUCGAGAAGGCAUGGAACUGUUAUAGUUUCCAGUUUACAGUAUUUGUAGCUAAGGCGUCUUCCCUGCAAGUUGUAACAUUGUUACAAUUUUUUUUCUCAAUAAUAAUAAUAAUAAUCAAAUAUGGGCCUGUAUCAUGAGAAAGGCAUGGCCUUUUGAAAUAUUCUUUGGCCAGGAGCAAGUAUUGCCAAAGGGUCAUAAGUAGAUUUUCUCUGGACAAAGACUUCCCAUUGUGGGCCAAAGUGGGAUCUCCACUGUUCCUGCGUAGUGUAGUGGGGCAGAUAUUGCUUCACUCCAAGAUGUGCUGUUUCACAGUAUUCUAGAAUUCUUUUGUUCUGAGUUAAGAUGUGUUCUAGGCCAUCAGUUCCUUUGGAAGAUGGAACUGCAGAUGAAAGGAAUGCUACUAGAUAGAAAACAUCUUCUUCUGGAAUAACAACAGAUGUUCUGUUGUCCCACCUGAAAUCAGAAUUGAUAUAUUGAUCAGUCAACAAACACUUUGAGAAUUUACUGUGGCUAAUGUCAAUUUUCUUAUGAACUAUUACUUUGAUUUGUUGAGUGGGUAGAUGAGGAUGGGCCCAUUGCUUGUCUCUGCAAGGAUGUUGCCAAAGACUUCCUUAGCAAAAUCAUGUAUUUUGCUUUGGGGGAUAAAAAGAUUGAGCCAUGGAUGAGGAACUUCCCACAAGCCCUUUGACUGUAGCUUGACCUCUGACACAUGAACCCUGUCUAAGAAUUCAAUAUAUGAAACUUCUGAUAGGAAAAGUGUUGAUGGGAUGUAGUUUAGUACAGACAAUGAGGAUUCAACUUCCUGCAUGGGUUAAACAAACAUAUUAAUGAGUAUCCUGUUUUUUAUUUGUCUGUUAUUAUUUUGUGUGUAUACACAUUGACGAUUUAAGAAUUAAUUAUUUAAGUGGACAAAUCUGCCAAUUGUGGGCCAUCACCCCUCACCUGAUUUACUAAAUCCUUCUCAUCCUUGUUGAUGUAUUUGGCUAAUUCUAGGCAGAAGAGAGUUUGUCCACCUGACUUGAACUGGCUGGCUUGUACUGGGUCUUGUGGGUCGAAGGAUGAUCUCCAAUUAUUUAGGAGACCAGUCCUGUUUACUAUCACAAAUCCUUCUAUAUAAUCAAAUGUUUUUUCUGCAGAUAUCAAAUACUCCUGGUCUCUGGCAAAUGUAACAAAAUCAGAGUAUAGUACUCUGAUCCAUUUCACCUGCUCAAUAUGGAGAAUUGGGUUACAAGAAUUGGAAUUUUAUACAGAACCGGAGAUCUUACUACUCGAUAAGUCCUUAGCCAUGAUGAUAAAUUGCUUUUACCAUAUCCGGUGCUGGUUCUAGUGAUAUCCUUGCUCGGGUUAUGAUGCCAAAUUGACCUAGUCCUCCGAGAACACUGUGAAAGAGCUCACUAUUCUGCUUCUCGGAACAAUUUAUUAUCUCUCCUUUUCCUGCACUCAGUUUUAGUCCAUUUUUCAGUAAGACCUUGACAGUAUGCACAUGAUUUUUAUUUUUCAUGGAAAUUAAACUUCUACAAAGACAAAAUUCACUGAGUAAAGUUGGCAUCCUUAGUUUCAGUUACAAAUAAAUAAAUAAAUCAGCUAAUCUUUAGUAUUAUUUACCAUUUCUCAUUCGUUGUGAUUACUCACUUGAUCCAGGCCUGGUUGGUUAUAUAUAUAUAUAUAUAUAUAUUUUUCUUUUCUUGAUAAUGCUUUGACAUACCUGUAACAACCUCCAGCUGAUGGACAUUACUUAUCUGAGGCCCAUGCUGAAAGGCCUGCCCACUAAUCCCUGCAUUUGACAAAGUACCACCCACAGUUAAAUGAAGGUAGUCCGUCCAAGAUUUUGGUGCUAAUCCAUAUUUCACACUUUCAUGCAGGAUAUUUAUCCACAAUUCACCCCCAGAGACGUCCACAUAGAAAGAAUUUUCAGCGUAAACCUGCAUUUUUGGGCCUUGGAGAGAUUCCAUGUUGAUGACAACACCUUGAUGUGCCUGUGCCUGGCCCUGGAGUGAAUGGCCAUGCCCUC